CAGUUGAGGGAAAUGAGGCUACAAAAUGUCACCUCACUGAUGGUUAAGGUUGAGUCAGUUGGUUUGUUGGGUUCGGUAAUGUCUCUUCCUCCAUCACUGAUUGUUCCAUGUGUGUCCAACUCAAAGCUCUGCACUUAACCAUUUUGUUUAAAGGAUGAUCUUCCCAAGAUGAGAAAACCAAUCUUUAGACAAGGGUAUACAAGUAGCUGUACUGCAUUGAUAGGGUCUCCAUUAAAGUUAUCAAAGCCCAGUUGUAGGAAUGAACCUAAAGGAUCUGUAAGACUGGCUCCAA
Molecule: non-coding RNA, 292 nt
Organism: Dipodomys ordii (Ord's kangaroo rat)
Lineage: Eukaryota; Metazoa; Chordata; Mammalia; Rodentia; Heteromyidae
Source: Rfam